AGACAUAUUUCGAAAAUUAAUAAUAGAUAAGCAUGUAGAAAAUUAUUUGACACCUUGUUAGGACGUGGGUUCGAAACCCACCAGCUCCACCA
Molecule: transfer-messenger RNA, 92 nt
Filed under: Flavobacteriales bacterium
Lineage: Bacteria; Pseudomonadati; Bacteroidota; Flavobacteriia; Flavobacteriales
Description: partial transfer-messenger RNA
Rfam family: transfer-messenger RNA
About the family: Bacterial tmRNA, also known as 10Sa RNA or SsrA, is named for its dual tRNA and mRNA-like properties. Its role is to liberate the mRNA from a stalled ribosome. To accomplish this part of the tmRNA is used as a reading frame that ends in a translation stop signal.
Source: RNAcentral